Small nuclear RNA from Alligator mississippiensis (American alligator), 160 nucleotides. It matches the Rfam family "U1 spliceosomal RNA". Rfam says of the family: U1 is a small nuclear RNA (snRNA) component of the spliceosome (involved in pre-mRNA splicing). Its 5' end forms complementary base pairs with the 5' splice junction, thus defining the 5' donor site of an intron. The record is from Rfam. Lineage: Eukaryota; Metazoa; Chordata; Crocodylia; Alligatoridae.
AUACAUAUCUGGCAGGGGAGCUACCAUGAUCAAGAAGUUUUCCCAGGAUGAGGUGCAUCCAUUGCACUCUGGGCAGGCUGACCCCUGUGAGUUUCCCAAAUGUAAAUAACUUGACUGCACAAUUUGGUGAUAAAGGGGGACUAUCUGCGCUUUCCCCCUG